CACAAACACGGUUGUGUUCGUGCGAACCAGGGGAGGAAGAAAGGGGAGCCAAAAACCCUAACUGCUAGAUAUCAAGAAAUUGAAGCCUAAAUCACAAGAAAAUUCGAUGCAUGGGUCCUCUUUUUCGAAAAUCUAACCCUAACUAAUGAAGUGGAACGUGUCAAGGAGAGCUCAAGCAUAGGAGGAUAACGGGUCAAGAUAAGGCAAGGUGACAAAUACACUUAUUGGAAUACUCAAGGUAAGUGAUUUCUAUAAUCACUUCUUUAGUUGUUUAAGUAAUAUAAUGUUUUAAUUAUUAAGUUCAUAUAAAGUUGAGGUUAAAUCAAUGGAUUAUUUUGAUAAAUGCACGAAUGGGUCGAAUAAUUCAUAGAUGAAUAACAAGCCGAAUACGUAUAAGUUAAGAAAUUCCUUAACUCGGAUGUUGGACUUCAAGAUCACGUGAUAGAAUAUUAUAUUACAAUCAUAUAGGAAGAAACGUGACGCAAAACGGACGAAAAAUGAGAGAGUUGUGUCCGUUUCAGUAAGGAUUAAUGGCUAGGAAAAGUGCAGAGUUGACAUGGCCUGGUGGUGAACUGACACGGCCGGGUGAAGGUUCUGUCAAAAAUAUUAUUUAUGUGAUUUAUGCGCCGUAGGCUUCGGUAUAUUAUCCGUGAACUACGACGGGCUUCCCAAACAUGAUUUCGAGUGUUUCCUUGACGAUUAUAAGUUGUAAACCCAAGUCUAAGCCUCAUGUAAUUUAUACAAGAGUGUGAUAGAUGUAUGUAAUGAAGUUGGACAUGUAUUACAUGUAAAUGUACACAAAAAUACGUAUGGAACACGUAGGUAUGAAUACAUGAUUGUAGGUAUGAUUAAAUGUAUAUUAGGUAUGUAGAUGUGUAUGAUUGUAAGUUUGUAUGUGUGCAAGUAUCUGCGAAUGCAUGAUUUGGAUGCAUUUGAGAAUUAGCGUUACUAAUAAUGCCCUUGGGUUUGAAAUAUAAGUUGAUUGGAUGCAUUUAAAUGGUUAACGUCCUUUUUAUGAAGAUGUAGUAAAUGAAUAUGUUGAGAUUACGGGUUUGGCUAACCAAGUUAUUAUUGAGUAUGUUUGAAAGUGCAGGUUAUGAAUGUCGGACUUUCGAAGUGUUGAUAUAAUAAUGAAACGGUUGAAUGUUGAAAGGAUAAUCGGAUUGAAGUAACUUAUGCGGUUAGAAUAUGCUAUGGACGUUUUAGUUUAUACAAUAUUAUAUGUUUGGUCGUCACCAUCUACUAACAGGUUAGUUGUAUGAGAGUAUAUGUCAUACCCAUUUAAUUGGAUAAUCGAAUGCGUAAGAGAAAUGAAAGUACGCACACGAAUGGAACUAAAAUGACGGUUUUAUAAGCAAACAAGUAUAAUGACUAACUUUUUAAAGCUUUGUUGUUGAAUGUAGGUAAUUCCUCAAUUUUGGCGACUUGGAGAAUCGGAGCGAGCGCGUGUUCGUGUUAUGCGAUACCAAACGCUUCCGCUAGCUUGUUCAAAUGUUUUUGAUCCAAAAUUUGUUGUAUUGGUAUUUAGUAGUAUCUUGUUGAACGAAUUGUAGAAUUGUAUCUAGUUUGUUUAUGUUUUAAACAGGGGUAUGCUCGUUUUAUGGACGGGUCAUGCCCGAUUUUUUUGU
RNAcentral lists this long non-coding RNA (1628 nucleotides) under Helianthus annuus (common sunflower). RNAcentral's name for it is "hypothetical non coding rna". The record is from RNAcentral. Lineage: Eukaryota; Viridiplantae; Streptophyta; Magnoliopsida; Asterales; Asteraceae.